AGUGAGUUCACUAUUGCUUUGAUGUAACCCGGGAUACUCAUCAAAGCAAUAGUGAACUCACUCCACUGAAUUGGCAAACUGGUGGAGAUCAUGGAUUGUAUGAUCUAACAGGUACCGUUGAUCAUCAAUCUUACUGGAGUCAAACACAGUGGGGUGAAAAUGAUAACUCUCUUAAUUUUCUCCCUUGAAGGAACAAAAAAUUUGGAGAGGUUAUAUCUUGUUAACUAUGUUGGUAUGUAUAUUCAUUUAUCCUAUUUUUAAAUUCGGUUCAUGUUUUUAUUUUGGGUGGAGUUAGGGUUUUGAAAUUUGUAAUUUCUAUCAUGCAAAUGUAACUAACCACUCCACGCUAAUUACUUUUUUUUUUUUUGUUUAACUUUCCCGGCGGGAGUAUAUUUAGAUAUUAUUGCAAAUGAAAGUUUU
RNAcentral lists this unclassified non-coding RNA (420 nucleotides) under Hevea brasiliensis (rubber tree). Lineage: Eukaryota; Viridiplantae; Streptophyta; Magnoliopsida; Malpighiales; Euphorbiaceae. The record is from RNAcentral.